RNAcentral lists this ribosomal RNA (301 nucleotides) under uncultured bacterium. RNAcentral's name for it is "partial 16S ribosomal RNA". It matches the Rfam family "Bacterial small subunit ribosomal RNA", at positions 509 to 807 of the family's 1533-position model. The record is from RNAcentral.
CAGUCGCCGCGGGAAUACGUAGGGUGCAAGCGUUAAUCGGAAUUACUGGGCGUAAAGCGUGCGCAGGCGGUUUGUUAAGACAGAUGUGAAAUCCCCGGGCUCAACCUGGGAACUGCAUUUGUGACUGGCAGGCUAGAGUAUGGCAGAGGGGGGUGGAAUUCCGCGUGUAGCAGUGAAAUGCGUAGAUAUGCGGAGGAACACCGAUGGCGAAGGCAGCCCCCUGGGCCAAUACUGACGCUGAGGUACGAAAGCAUGGGGAGCAAACAGGAUUAGAGACCCGCGUAGUCCCUGUCUCUUAUAC